Molecule: ribosomal RNA, 427 nt
Filed under: uncultured bacterium
Lineage: Bacteria
Description: partial 16S ribosomal RNA
Rfam family: Bacterial small subunit ribosomal RNA
Source: RNAcentral
UGGGGAAUAUUGGACAAUGGGCGAAAGCCUGAUCCAGCCAUGCCGCGUGUGUGAAGAAGGUCUUCGGAUUGUAAAGCACUUUAAGUUGGGAGGAAGGGCAUUAACCUAAUACGUUAGUGUUUUGACGUUACCGACAGAAUAAGCACCGGCUAACUCUGUGCCAGCAGCCGCGGUAAUACGGAGGGUGCAAGCGUUAAUCGGAAUUACUGGGCGUAAAGCGCGCGUAGGUGGUGUGUUAAGUUGGAUGUGAAAUCCCCGGGCUCAACCUGGGAACUGCAUUCAAAACUGACUGACUAGAGUAUGGUAGAGGGUGGUGGAAUUUCCUGUGUAGCGGUGAAAUGCGUAGAUAUAGGAAGGAACACCAGUGGCGAAGGCGACCACCUGGACUAAUACUGACACUGAGGUGCGAAAGCGUGGGGAGCAAACA